UUUGUGGCAUUUAACGAUUGGCGAUAUUCACCGUCCGCAGAGGCUUGCACGCUUCUCGACGAUAGAGAACGCACAAGUCCAGAGGCAGUUGCAGGGGCCGCCGAAAUGAAAGUUUGCAGAGCGCAGACAGUAGAAAAACAUGGCCGGCAAAAGAGACCUGCAAAUUGAAAGCAACAUUUGGCGAGAUCGCAUGCAGUAUGCAUUCAAACUACACAGUUGUCCCUGCCAUGAAUUGUUGAUCUUUGAUUUUUUGUAGGCUUCCAGCGGAGCAUGGACAGGUGGCGAUUGGGGGUUUCAAUUUUUCCAAUUUUAAAUUCCAGAGGCUACAUUUUCUUUGUCAUUUUUUGCUCUGGUACCAUCUUGGGUUUGCCUCUGCGAUCCCGUUAACCUUCUUUCGAGAUACGUUGAUAACCCCAAGCUUCAUUGUUGAUCAUGCGCCAGAAUCAGCCUUAGUGCAUUCAUCUCUCGCGCAAAUCCCUUUGUCCUAGUCUCAUCUGGUAACAUUUGGCUAUUAAGGUUAUAGCUGUCUCUGCAUGCUGGUUUCAAGUGGAGGAUCCUGGAAAGCUUUAGGGCAUAGGGUAGAGCGUGAGCCCUAAUUAAAAAUCUUUGUUGCUACUAGUUGGAUCAGUUGGCUCCCCAUCCUUGAUAGGAUACCUCCACAGCCUAAAAGUGUUUGGCAGUUUCUUCUCCUAUUUUCAAAUCCAGAUCUUUGAAUGCAGAGGCUAAAAAUAGUCACAAAAACACAACCAGAAAGCUCAGAAAGCCUACAGAGAAGCUCAGAGCAGCCAAAAAAAGUAUACAAAGAAAUUGAAUGAGAAAAGGCAAAUGAAAUCAAACAGUUCAUUACCAUUGUACUAGUUGUGUACAUAGUUAAUCGACAAACAAUGUUCAAGACAAGAAUCAAUUAACAAUGCUCAAAGAAUAUAUGUCAAUACAUAUACAUAUUUCCUCUUUUUAUACAUAUUUCCUCUUUUUGCUCUGUA
Molecule: long non-coding RNA, 983 nt
Organism: Cryptomeria japonica (Japanese cedar)
Lineage: Eukaryota; Viridiplantae; Streptophyta; Pinopsida; Cupressales; Cupressaceae
Exons: 5
Source: RefSeq, a predicted model, not a curated record